RNAcentral lists this long non-coding RNA (265 nucleotides) under Lynx canadensis (Canada lynx). Its description in RNAcentral is "lncRNA (ENSLCNG00005016186.1)". Lineage: Eukaryota; Metazoa; Chordata; Mammalia; Carnivora; Felidae. The record is from RNAcentral.
GCCCGGGGGGUCCGGGCACCGCCAUGGAACCAGAAUAGGAAGGGAGCGCGCCCACCGGUCCUCGGCCUGCGCCCAAGCCCGGGAGGAAUCCGGGAGGCCUCCGCGGAGAUGUUUUCCAGGACUAAUGCAACUGAUGAAAUACCUGCCCUUUUCUGUUCAAGAGGCUGGUUUAAUUGAUUUAUUUUCCCUGUAAGUGUGGAAGCCAGAAAGUCAAAGUUUGUCGUAAUAAAAAGUAACAGUUGGAGUAUUCCCGGACAGUAGCCAC